GCGAUAGUAGUCUAGCGGCAGGACAGGAGCUUCCCAAGCUUCUAACCCGGGUUCGAUCCCCGGCUAUCGCA
RNAcentral lists this transfer RNA (71 nucleotides) under Methanoregula boonei 6A8. RNAcentral describes it as "tRNA-Gly (CCC) (tRNA-Gly-CCC-1-1)". It matches the Rfam family "tRNA". Rfam says of the family: Transfer RNA (tRNA) molecules are approximately 80 nucleotides in length. Their secondary structure includes four short double-helical elements and three loops (D, anti-codon, and T loops). Lineage: Archaea; Methanobacteriati; Methanobacteriota; Methanomicrobia; Methanomicrobiales; Methanoregulaceae. RNAcentral also lists the same sequence under 5 other names. The record is from Rfam by way of RNAcentral.